This 607-nucleotide ribosomal RNA is filed under the name uncultured bacterium. Its description in RNAcentral is "bacterial SSU rRNA". It matches the Rfam family "Bacterial small subunit ribosomal RNA", at positions 8 to 608 of the family's 1533-position model. The record is from RNAcentral.
AGAGUUUGAUCCUGGCUCAGAUUGAACGCUGGCGGCAUGCUUUACACAUGCAAGUCGAACGGCAGCACGAGUGCUUGCACUUGGUGGCGAGUGGCGAACGGGUGAGUAAUGCAUCGGAACGUGUCUUAAAGUGGGGGAUAACGCAUCGAAAGAUGUGCUAAUACCGCAUAUUCUCUCAGGAGGAAAGUAGGGGAUCGAAAGACCUUAUGCUUUAAGAGCGGCCGAUGUCUGAUUAGCUAGUUGGUGAGGUAAUGGCUUACCAAGGCGACGAUCAGUAGUUGGUCUGAGAGGACGACCAGCCACACUGGGACUGAGACACGGCCCAGACUCCUACGGGAGGCAGCAGUGGGGAAUUUUGGACAAUGGGCGCAAGCCUGAUCCAGCAAUGCCGCGUGAGUGAAGAAGGCCUUCGGGUUGUAAAGCUCUUUCAGUUGAGAAGAAAAAAUUGUGACUAAUAAUCACAAUUGAUGACGGUAUCAACAGAAGAAGCACCGGCUAACUACGUGCCAGCAGCCGCGGUAAUACGUAGGGUGCGAGCGUUAAUCGGAAUUACUGGGCGUAAAGGGUGCGCAGGUGGUUUUGUAAGUCAGAUGUGAAAUCCCCGGGC